Molecule: long non-coding RNA, 1099 nt
Organism: Oncorhynchus tshawytscha (Chinook salmon)
Lineage: Eukaryota; Metazoa; Chordata; Actinopteri; Salmoniformes; Salmonidae
Source: Ensembl
UUCAGGUGGAAAAUAAUUGUAUUUGUCUUGAAUAUAAGUAACAAACAUUAACAAAACCACAUUAUUCACCAUACUAUAGACUGUAUCCACCAGCUUGGCUGACCAGCAUGCAAGCUGAUUUUAAGCACAAAAAUCCAUUACAGAUAACAACCACACAUAGAGUGCUGUAUAUCCACAAUGAACAGUUUUUCAUUCACCACCUCUGUAAACAGUUGAAUGUUGCAUCAACAAUUGAUUUUUUUCUCACAAGGCGUAUAUACAGAAGCUGAUCUGGUGUAAAGUAGUGCACCACAUAGAAAAAUAGAGGCGCCAUUUUGGAUUGGCCCUUGAGUGCUCCAGAUUGCAUUACCAGCUUAAAACAAGUCACGACGAUGUGACAGUGUGACAGGGUGCCUGACAGGUGCCCAUUCUGAUUUUUAUUGAGGACCCCAAUUCAUUCAGAUCAAGCGUUAACCGGUGAUAUCUCACACCUGUUUUGGAUGUUUUGGCGGUGAUGUAGGGGGAACAGCGUUAGCGCUGUCAAAUCAACAAGCGGCACCUGGCACAUACCUAAAGCGGACAUUGCCAUCGGCCGCAUGGAGUCGCAUUAAAAGAAAUCCCAUGCAGCCUUGUUUACAAGUUGGAAUACUGGAAUGUAAGAUGUAAUCUACACCUCGAUUAGGCUGCUAGAAAUCCUCAUUCGUUUGUUUAAUGAUUUUCAGCUUGAGCGUCAUUAUUUCUAUAUAGUCUAUACUUUCUCAUUCUGAACGUCUAACGGAAGUGUGACGGCUGUGGCUUCCUGACAAUGAUCAAGAGCAGCUGCGAUUUGACAUCUCCAAUGCUGUUCCACCUCAAACAGCGCCAAAACAUCAGCUAUGCAGGUGUCAGCUAUCGUCAGUUAACGCUUGAUCUGAUUGAAUCUAGGCCUUAGUGAUUUUCAUCAUAACAUUGUCACCUCAAUUCAUCUUUACUGUUCAAGAUUUACAUGCAAACAUUUUAAUAAUUAUAGAUGAGCCAAAUUGUAUAAUACACACGUGAGCAUGCACACACCCCUCUCUCUCUCUCUCUCUCUCUCUCUCUCUCUCUCUCUCUCUCUGUGUCUCUCUCUCUCUCUCUCUCU